CAGUAGCCGCGGUAACACGAAGGGUGCAAGCGUUACUCGGAAUUACUGGGCGUAAAGCGUGCGUAUGUGGUGGUUUAAGUCCGUUGUGAAAGCCCUGGGCUCAACCUGGGAAUUGCAGUGGAUACUGGGUCACUAGAGUGUGGUAGAGGAUAGUGGAAUUUCCGGUGUAGCAGUGAAAUGCGUAGAGAUCGGAAGGAACAUCUGUGGCGAAGGCGACUAUCUGGGCCAACACUGACACUGAGGCACGAAAGCGUGGGGAGCAAACAGGAUUAGAUACCCCAGUAGUCCCUGUCUCUUAUAA
This 301-nucleotide ribosomal RNA is filed under the name uncultured bacterium. RNAcentral describes it as "partial 16S ribosomal RNA". It matches the Rfam family "Bacterial small subunit ribosomal RNA", at positions 509 to 809 of the family's 1533-position model. The record is from RNAcentral.